AACGAACGCUGGCGGCAUGCCUAACACAUGCAAGUCGAACGAGACCUUCGGGUCUAGUGGCGCACGGGUGCGUAACGCGUGGGAACCUGCCCUUAGGUUCGGAAUAACUCCCCGAAAGGGGUGCUAAUACCGGAUAAUGUCUUCGGACCAAAGAUUUAUCGCCUUUGGAUGGGCCCGCGUUGGAUUAGCUAGUUGGUAGGGUAAAAGCCUACCAAGGCGACGAUCCAUAGCUGGUCUGAGAGGAAGAUCAGCCACACUGGGACUGAGACACGGCCCAGACUCCUACGGGAGGCAGCAGUGGAGAAUAUUGGACAAUGGGCGAAAGCCUGAUCCAGCAAUGCCGCGUGAGUGAUGAAGGCAUUAGGGUUGUAAAGCUCUUUUACCCGGGAUGAUAAUGACAGUACCGGGAGAAUAAGCUCCGGCUAACUCCGUG
This 433-nucleotide ribosomal RNA is filed under the name uncultured bacterium. Its description in RNAcentral is "partial 16S ribosomal RNA". It matches the Rfam family "Bacterial small subunit ribosomal RNA", at positions 29 to 507 of the family's 1533-position model. The record is from RNAcentral.